Molecule: ribosomal RNA, 253 nt
Filed under: uncultured bacterium
Lineage: Bacteria
Description: partial 16S ribosomal RNA
Rfam family: Bacterial small subunit ribosomal RNA
Source: RNAcentral
UACGAAGGGGGCUAGCGUUGCUCGGAAUUACUGGGCGUAAAGCGCACGUAGGCGGCUUUCUAAGUCAGGGGUGAAAUCCCAAGGCUCAACCUUGGAACUGCCUUUGAUACUGGGGAUCUCGAGUCCGGAAGAGGUUGGUGGAACUGCGAGUGUAGAGGUGAAAUUCGUAGAUAUUCGCAAGAACACCAGUGGCGAAGGCGGCCAACUGGUCCGGUACUGACGCUGAGGUGCGAAAGCGUGGGGAGCAAACAGG